RNAcentral lists this ribosomal RNA (400 nucleotides) under uncultured bacterium. RNAcentral's name for it is "bacterial SSU rRNA". It matches the Rfam family "Bacterial small subunit ribosomal RNA", at positions 355 to 752 of the family's 1533-position model. The record is from RNAcentral.
UGAGGAAUAUUGGUCAAUGGGCGAAAGCCUGAACCAGCCAAAUCGCGUGAAGGAAGACAGCCCUACGGGUUUUAAACUUCUUUUGUAAGAGAGUAAAAAGUGCUACGUGUAGCAUAUUGCAAGUAUCUUACGAAUAAGCAUCGGCUAACUCCGUGCCAGCAGCCGCGGUAAUACGGAGGAUGCGAGCGUUAUCCGGAUUUAUUGGGUUUAAAGGGUGCGCAGGCGGGCUGAUAAGUCAGCGGUGAAAAAUCGGGGCUCAACCCCGGCACUGCCGUUGAAACUGUCAGUCUUGAGUAUAGAUGAAGUAGGCGGAAUUCGUUGUGUAGCGGUGAAAUGCAUAGAUAUAACGAAGAACCCCGAUUGCGUAGGCAGCUUACUAAACUAUUACUGACGCUCAAGC